RNAcentral lists this unclassified non-coding RNA (520 nucleotides) under uncultured Entrophospora. RNAcentral describes it as "SSU rRNA". It matches the Rfam family "Eukaryotic small subunit ribosomal RNA", at positions 569 to 1083 of the family's 1831-position model. The record is from RNAcentral. Lineage: Eukaryota; Fungi; Glomeromycota; Glomeromycetes; Entrophosporales; Entrophosporaceae.
AGCAGCCGCGGUAAUUCCAGCUCCAAUAGCGUAUAUUAAAGUUGUUGCAGUUAAAAAGCUCGUAGUUGAAUUUCGGGAUUGGCGUAUCGGUCGUGCCUCACGGGGUAUGAACUGGUGCAGUCAAUUUCUCACCUUCUGGGGAACCGCGAUGUCCUUAAUUGGAUGCCGUGGGGAACCAGGACCUUUACUUUGAAAAAAUUAGAGUGUUUAAAGCAGGCAUUUUUGCUUGAAUACAUUAGCAUGGAAUAAUAAAAUAGGACGGCAUGGUUCUAUUUUGUUGGUUUCUAGGACCACCGUAAUGAUUAAUAGGGAUAGUUGGGGGCAUUAGUAUUCAAUUGUCAGAGGUGAAAUUCUUGGAUUUAUUGAAGACUAACUACUGCGAAAGCAUUUGCCAAGGAUGUUUUCAUUAAUCAAGAACGAAAGUUAGGGGAUCGAAGACGAUCAGAUACCGUCGUAGUCUUAACCAUAAACUAUGCCGACUAGGGAUCGGAUGAUGUUAAUUUUUUAAUGACUCAUUCGG